RNAcentral lists this ribosomal RNA (484 nucleotides) under uncultured bacterium. RNAcentral describes it as "partial 16S ribosomal RNA". It matches the Rfam family "Bacterial small subunit ribosomal RNA", at positions 28 to 507 of the family's 1533-position model. The record is from RNAcentral.
AUUGAACGCUGGCGGCAUGCUUUACACAUGCAAGUCGAACGGCAGCGCCGGCUUCUGCCUGGCGGCGAGUGGCGAACGGGUGAGUAAUACACCGGAACGUGCCCCGUUGUGGUUGAUAGCUCGUCGAAAGCCGGAGUAAUACCGCAUACGACCUGAGCGUGAAAGCGGGGGGGCUUCGGACCUCUCGCUAGUUGGGGGGCCGAUGGCAGAUUAGCUAGUUGGUGGGGUAAAGGCCUACCAAGGCGACGAUCUGUAGCUGGUCUGAGAGGACGACCAGCCACAUGGGGACUGAGCCAGCGACCAGGCUCCUGAGAGAGGCCCCAGUCGGGAACGUUGGACAGAGGGCGAAAGCCUGAUACAGCAAGGCGGCGCCUGUGACGGAGGCGUUCGGGUUGUAAAGAACUUUUGGCGGGAGCGAACAGCACUGGGCUAAUACCAAGGGUGGAUGACGGUACCGGGAGAAGAAGCACCGGCUAACUACGUG